CCCAGGGUUGCAGCCAGGUCUUCAGGUAAACAUUGUAAUUCAACAACCAUAUCCUCCUCUUCCUCAUCAGAUUCCACCAUUUCAAAUUUCCCUAGUUGUUCAGAGUAGUAAGCAAGGUGAAUUGAUAGAGGAGUGUCGUCAACAUGUUUAGCUAAGUUUUCUUUACACUCAGCCAUCUUCUUUUCCAGGUUUGGGGUAACACACAGCAACUCCUCAAUAAAUCCUUCAUGAUCAGAAUUGAACAUCAAUUCAGGCUGGUAAUCCACUGCAGAUAUUGCACCCGUGUGGAUACCCUUUUUCCACUAGAAGGGCCAUUAUCCUUAUCAGAAAAAAUUGCCUUAUCCAGAUCAUCAAUAGCGUCAUCUUCUUCACCCUCACUAGGGGGCCAUCUUAUCUUGCCCAAAAAGACCAUCUUCGUCUUCCUUGUUCAAUUCUCCAUCAUCUGAAUCAGGAUCACCUCCAUCUGAUUCCUCUCCCAUCUGUUCAUAACCCUCCACUACAAAGAACAUAAGGUAUAAUUUCUUCUUCACCUCGAAUAGUCUCUCAAAUGGGAUCUUAGAUGGGUCUCUGCAAGCCAACUUUAAUCCUGAUAUUUUCAUAGAAACUUUUAAAAAUGCCAUUCCAAUCCACAUCCAUAAGGAUACCAAAGCAAGAAGCAACUUGAGCAAAGACCUUCCAAGCACACCACUUGGGAGGGAUUCCAUCUAUUUGCACCUAAGCCUCUUUAAGUUCUCCAAACUCAUCCAACAUCCCUUCCCAGGUAAAGAUUUUAACAGACACACCAUCUAUN
RNAcentral lists this long non-coding RNA (790 nucleotides) under Hordeum vulgare. RNAcentral describes it as "long non-coding RNA (HVUL_LNC005845)". The record is from RNAcentral. Lineage: Eukaryota; Viridiplantae; Streptophyta; Magnoliopsida; Poales; Poaceae.